This 271-nucleotide long non-coding RNA is filed under the name Sorghum bicolor (sorghum). RNAcentral's name for it is "long non-coding RNA (SBIC_LNC011458)". The record is from RNAcentral. Lineage: Eukaryota; Viridiplantae; Streptophyta; Magnoliopsida; Poales; Poaceae.
AGGCUGACCGGCGGCAGCCCGCUGACAGGGGGUAAGGUGACGGGCGGGACGGGGAGCUUCGGGAUGGGGACCGACGGUAUACUGACAGGCGGCAGGGGCACCGACGGUAUGCUGACAGGCGGCAAGGGGACUGACGGUAUGCUGAUAGGGGGCAGGGGGACGCCGGUCGAGGGUGGCGAGCCGGACUCGCACGAGUGGCACUCCGGCUCCGCCUUCUCCCACGCGAGAGCGAGCGGGGACGAGGAGAGCGCGAGCAUGGCGAGCACCAGCA